This is a long non-coding RNA of Symphalangus syndactylus (siamang), 648 nucleotides long. RefSeq lists it as uncharacterized. The record is from RefSeq and is a predicted model, not a curated record. Lineage: Eukaryota; Metazoa; Chordata; Mammalia; Primates; Hylobatidae.
CCGGCCCUGGUCGUCCGCCGCCAGCACGCGGUCCCCGGGGCGCAGGUCCUUCACCAGCUUGGUGCCGCCCUGCUCCAGGUGCACCGUGGCCGAGCCCGGGAAGCAGCCUCCGGAUUUGGCCGCCACCGAGUUCUCUGCGGGGACAGGAUUCCGACGCAGGCACAUUCCUUAACGACUCUCUAAGUCUGGGCUGGCGGUGACAGAGGUUGGCUGGCGUUUCCUGCAGAGGCCGAUGACACUCCUUCCUUCUGCCUUCCUCCAACCCCACCCCCAGCUCCGCACACACCCGGCCUCGCCGCGAAUCCAUCCAGAGGGUGUUUGCUCUGCACUUGGAUUCCUCAGGAAGCCUCCUUGAGCUCCCGCGGGCGCCGGGCGCACCCUCCUUCCCUCCUGCCCCGGCGCGGGGCGCGGCGCCUGCUUUCGCGCUCAGCACCCGGGCUGCGCGGCGGAAACCCCUGGCUCGCCUGCCCGCCUGCCCGCCUGCCCGCAGCACCCUGCGGCGCCUCGGCGUGGGCCUGCGGAGGGGCGGGGGCGGGGAGUGCAAAAUAGCUGCAGUAGUUGUAGCAACUGGACAAACAUUCCAGAGAUUGGCCGAGGUGUGAAAAUCCGAGGCUUGUGUGGAUUUUCUAAUUAAAAUCCAAUAAAGGG